GAUGAACGCUGGCGGCGUGCCUAAUACAUGCAAGUCGAGCGAACGGACGAGAAGCUUGCUUCUCUGAUGUUAGCGGCGGACGGGUGAGUAACACGUGGAUAACCUACCUAUAAGACUGGGAUAACUUCGGGAAACCGGAGCUAAUACCGGAUGAUAUUUUGAACCGCAUGGUUCAAAAGUGAAAGACGGUCUUGCUGUCACUUAUAGAUGGAUCCGCGCUGCAUUAGCUAGUUGGUAAGGUAACGGCUUACCAAGGCAACGAUGAAUAGCCGACCUGAGAGGGUGAUCGGCCAAACUGGAACUGAGACACGGUCCAGACUCCUACGGGAGGCAGCAGUAGGGAAUCUUCCGAAAUGGGCGAAAGCCUGACGGAGCAACGCCGCGUGAGUGAUGAAGGUCUUCGGAUCGUAAAACUCUGUUAUUAGGGAAGAACAUAUGUGUAAGUAACUGUGCACAUCUUGACGGUACCUAAGCAGAAAGCCACGGCUAACUACGU
RNAcentral lists this ribosomal RNA (496 nucleotides) under uncultured bacterium. RNAcentral describes it as "partial 16S ribosomal RNA". It matches the Rfam family "Bacterial small subunit ribosomal RNA", at positions 28 to 506 of the family's 1533-position model. The record is from RNAcentral.